CAAAAAUGCCUUAAGAAUCACAAAUAUUCAUCUAAAAAAGCCUACUCAAACACUGCUUAAUUAGAUGAAUUGUGCCCUCAUCUUCAUUAGAAAUAAUCAAAUCAUCAACAAAAAGUAAAAAAAUUGCACGUCCUUUUGUUGUGACAACGCUGAACAUGGCAGGAUCAUAAUGGCUCAGUUAAAAUCCUAUAUAAAUAAUAGCAGCAUUGAAUUUGUCAAAUCAAGCAAGGGGAACCUAUUUAAGCCCAAAGAAUACAUGUCGUAAACAAC
RNAcentral lists this long non-coding RNA (270 nucleotides) under Amborella trichopoda. RNAcentral describes it as "long non-coding RNA (ATRI_LNC005080)". The record is from RNAcentral. Lineage: Eukaryota; Viridiplantae; Streptophyta; Magnoliopsida; Amborellales; Amborellaceae.